AACGCUGAAGGAGGAGCUUGCUUCUCUGGAUGAGUUGCGAACGGGUGAGUAACGCGUAGGUAACCUGCCUGGUAGCGGGGGAUAACUAUUGGAAACGAUAGCUAAUACCGCAUAAGAGUAGAUGUUGCAUGACAUUUGCUUAAAAGGUGCAAUUGCAUCACUACCAGAUGGACCUGCGUUGUAUUAGCUAGUUGGUGGGGUAACGGCUCACCAAGGCGACGAUACAUAGCCGACCUGAGAGGGUGAUCGGCCACACUGGGACUGAGACACGGCCCAGACUCCUACGGGAGGCAGCAGUAGGGAAUCUUCGGUAAUGGACGGAAGUCUGACCGAGCAACGCCGCGUGAGUGAAGAAGGUUUUCGGAUCGUAAAGCUCUGUUGUAAGAGAAGAACGAGUGUGAGAGUGGAAAGUUCACACUGUGACGGUAUCUUACCAGAAAGGGACGGCUAACUACGUGCCAGCAGCCGCGGUAAUACGUAGGUCCCGAGCGUUGUCCGGAUUUAUUGGGCGUAAAGCGAGCGCAGGCGGUUAGAUAAGUCUGAAGUUAAAGGCUGUGGCUUAACCAUAGUACGCUUUGGAAACUGUUUAACUUGAGUGCAAGAGGGGAGAGUGGAAUUCCAUGUGUAGCGGUGAAAUGCGUAGAUAUAUGGAGGAACACCGGUGGCGAAAGCGGCUCUCUGGCUUGUAACUGACGCUGAGGCUCGAAAGCGUGGGGAGCAAACAGGAUUAGAUAACCUGGUAGUCCACGCCGUAAACGAUGAGUGCUAGGUGUUAGACCCUU
Molecule: ribosomal RNA, 782 nt
Filed under: uncultured Streptococcus sp.
Lineage: Bacteria; Bacillati; Bacillota; Bacilli; Lactobacillales; Streptococcaceae
Description: bacterial SSU rRNA
Rfam family: Bacterial small subunit ribosomal RNA
Source: RNAcentral